GCAGUGGUGAUUCAGUGGUAGAAUUCUUGCCUUCCACACAGGAGACCCAGGUUUGAUUCCUGGCCAAUGCA
Molecule: transfer RNA, 71 nt
Filed under: Loxodonta africana (African savanna elephant)
Lineage: Eukaryota; Metazoa; Chordata; Mammalia; Proboscidea; Elephantidae
Rfam family: tRNA
About the family: Transfer RNA (tRNA) molecules are approximately 80 nucleotides in length. Their secondary structure includes four short double-helical elements and three loops (D, anti-codon, and T loops).
Source: Rfam by way of RNAcentral